Molecule: non-coding RNA, 407 nt
Organism: Tachysurus fulvidraco (yellow catfish)
Lineage: Eukaryota; Metazoa; Chordata; Actinopteri; Siluriformes; Bagridae
Source: the annotation of a RefSeq genome assembly
CUUCAGUGAUCUGGGAGUGUUUAUAGUGCUGUGACUUUAACACUUCAUGACUGAGAGCUGCUGCUACAGCAACUUCACCCACAGCUACCAUGACUUUGAUCCCCGUCUUCAUCUGGACACUGAUCCUCUGGACUCAAGAAUGCAGAGGUCAAGUCACAGUAACUCAGACUCCUGCAGUGAAAUCUGUUCUUCCAGGAGAAACAGUCACCAUCAACUGUAAAACCAAUCCAGCAGUUUAUAAUAAUAACUACUUACACUGGUAUCAGCAGAAAUCUGGAGAAGCUCCUAAACUCCUGAUUAAGCUUGUAAAUCAGCUACAGUCAGGAUUUCCAGCUCGUUUCAGUGGCAGUGGAUCUGGAUUUCACUCUGACCAUCAGUGGAGUCCAGACUGAAGAUGCAGGAGAUUA